RNAcentral lists this ribosomal RNA (588 nucleotides) under Hansenula anomala. RNAcentral describes it as "eukaryotic LSU rRNA". It matches the Rfam family "Eukaryotic large subunit ribosomal RNA", at positions 64 to 671 of the family's 3401-position model. Lineage: Eukaryota; Fungi; Ascomycota; Saccharomycetes; Phaffomycetales; Wickerhamomycetaceae. The record is from RNAcentral.
AGCGGGCGAUGCUCAGUACGGCGAGUGAGCGGCAAAGCUCAAAUUUGAAAUCUAGCACCUUCGGUGUUUGAGUUGUAAUUUGAAGAUGGUAACCUUGGGUUUGGCUCUUGUCUAUGUUCCUUGGAACAGGACGUCAUAGAGGGUGAGAAUCCCGUCUGAUGAGAUGCCCAUUCCUAUGUAAGGUGCUAUCGAAGAGUCGAGUUGUUUGGGAAUGCAGCUCUAAGUGGGUGGUAAAUUCCAUCUAAAGCUAAAUAUUGGCGAGAGACCGAUAGCGAACAAGUACAGUGAUGGAAAGAUGAAAAGAACUUUGAAAAGAGAGUGAAAAAGUACGUGAAAUUGUUGAAAGGGAAGGGCAUUAGAUCAGACUUGGUGUUUUACGAUUAUCUUCUCUUCUUGAGUUGUGCACUCGUAUUUCACUGGGCCAGCAUCGAUUCGGAUGGCAAGAUAAUGGCAGUUGAAUGUGGCUUCACUUCGGUGGAGUGUUAUAGCUUCUGCUGAUAUUGCCUGUCUGGAUCGAGGGCUGCGUCUUUUGACUAGGAUGCUGGCGUAAUGAUCUAAUGCCGCCCCGUCAUGAAACACAAACCAAUC